AGUGAACGCUGGCGGUAGGCCUAACACAUGCAAGUCGAACGGCAGCACAGUAAGAGCUUGCUCUUACGGGUGGCGAGUGGCGGACGGGUGAGGAAUACAUCGGAAUCUACUUUUUCGUGGGGGAUAACGUAGGGAAACUUACGCUAAUACCGCAUACGACCUACGGGUGAAAGCAGGGGAUCUUCGGACCUUGCGCGAUUGAAUGAGCCGAUGUCGGAUUAGCUAGUUGGCGGGGUAAAGGCCCACCAAGGCGACGAUCCGUAGCUGGUCUGAGAGGAUGACCAGCCAACCGGGAACGGAGACACGGGCCAGACCCCAAGGGGGGGCAGCAGUGGGGAAUAUUGGAAAAGGGGGGAAAGCCUGAUCCACCCAUACCGGGGGGGUGAAGAAGGCCUUGGGUUUGUAAAGCCUUUUUUUUGGGAAGAAAAAGAAGCAGGUUAACACCCCGCUUUUUUGACGUUACCAAAAAAAAAAGCACCGGUUAAUUUGGG
Molecule: ribosomal RNA, 491 nt
Filed under: uncultured bacterium
Lineage: Bacteria
Description: partial 16S ribosomal RNA
Rfam family: Bacterial small subunit ribosomal RNA
Source: RNAcentral